UCUACACCAGGAGAGCACUACAUUUAGGAGCUUUAAAUGAACAAGGAAGGAGAAACCCACCGUAAGGCUAUAGUAACGUCAUGAUCAAUCAGGUAACUUCUUUCUUGUAUUUUUUAAGGCUGCACAUUAGGGACAAUGUGCUAUCUAAAGUGUGAGGGUAACAUAGAAAAUUUAUGUGUUUAUUUUAUGCUUUUAUUUUUAAUUUUUCUUGUGUAAAGUGUGCUUAAGCUUGUAAAAAUACAAGUGAUUGGUUCGGGGCAUGUAUUUA
This 268-nucleotide long non-coding RNA is filed under the name Gossypium barbadense (sea-island cotton). Its description in RNAcentral is "long non-coding RNA (GBAR_LNC005260)". Lineage: Eukaryota; Viridiplantae; Streptophyta; Magnoliopsida; Malvales; Malvaceae. The record is from RNAcentral.